This 482-nucleotide ribosomal RNA is filed under the name uncultured bacterium. RNAcentral's name for it is "partial 16S ribosomal RNA". It matches the Rfam family "Bacterial small subunit ribosomal RNA", at positions 28 to 507 of the family's 1533-position model. The record is from RNAcentral.
GAUGAACGCUGGCGGCGUGCCUAAUACAUGCAAGUCGAACGCUUGACGUCGGUGUAGAGUUGCGUACGGGUGAGUACUACAUAAGAAACCUUGCAUCUACAGGGGGUUAACUGAUGGAAAGGCCAGCUAAGACCGCUAAUGCGUAGAGAUCGCUGGGACUGUAAAUGAAAAGUGCUACGAGAUUGGGAUAUGAUGUACUUAUGGCGCAUUAGCUUGUUGGUGGGGUAACGGCCUACCAAGGCGACGAUGCGUAGCCGGCCUGAGAGGGUGACCGGCCACACUGGGACUGAGACACGGUCCAGACUCCUACGGGAGGCAGCAGUAGGGAAUUUUCGGCAAUGGGGGAAACCCUGACCGAGCAACGCCGCGUGAAGGAAGAAGUAAUUCGGUAUGUAAACUUCUGUCAUAGGGGAAGAACGGUGGUUAUAGGGAAUGAUGUCCAAGUGACGGUACUCUAUAAGAAAGCCACGGCUAACUACGUG